Molecule: transfer RNA, 72 nt
Filed under: Dipodomys ordii (Ord's kangaroo rat)
Lineage: Eukaryota; Metazoa; Chordata; Mammalia; Rodentia; Heteromyidae
Rfam family: tRNA
About the family: Transfer RNA (tRNA) molecules are approximately 80 nucleotides in length. Their secondary structure includes four short double-helical elements and three loops (D, anti-codon, and T loops).
Source: Rfam by way of RNAcentral
AGGAGUGUGACUCGAUGGUAGAGUGCCUGCCUAGCAAGCACAAAGCCCUGAGUUCAGACCUCAGUACUGCUA